UGCAGCACCCACCUCCCCCUGCCUGUGCAUGGCCCAUCCUGGCAGCGUUACACCAGCACCCAGCACCCCGUGCCCCCGUCCCAGCCCCUGCAGAACGGGGUAGGGGGCAGCAGGGAUGUGACCCCUCCGCACACCCCUCCUGGCCCAGGAAGGAGCUGUCCCUGCGGGGCAGAGGAGCACUGUCCGGGGGGGCACACGUGGGCUGCACACAUGGGGCGCACCUCGAGGCUCCCACCCGUCCGGCUCAGCCCCCCCCAGCCCCCCAUCCUGCACUGCUCCAUCCCGCUGUUAACGGCUCGAGGCAGCGGGCUGGGGCUGUGUGCUCAGCUCCGGGACAAGAAAAUGAGGCACAUGCUGAAAAGCUGCACCCAGGGUAAGUCGAUUCAUUCCGGAUAGCGCGGGCUGUCAGGCUGCACUGUUGUCCUCUGGGACCUUAACGGGGGCAGCAGCAAAGCAGGGAGGGGUUGCACUGCAAAGUGACCCCCAGGGUCCCCAGGCCAUGCAGAGCAUGGUGCAGGGGGUGCCCAGGAUGCAGAGGAUGCGCGGGGUCUGUGGGGUUCAUGGGCUGCACGAGGGGUGCGCAGAGGGCACGGGGUGUGCAGGGUGCGCGGGGAGGGACCGCAGUGCGGUGACAUUGGAGCACCCCCAGGGCACAGCCCCCUCCUGCAGCCUCGAGGUGUGCAGAGCUGGGAGCACCCAAGGGUGGGAUCUGAUCGAGUCUCGCCCCUUGACCCCCCAGCAGCGGAUCCAGCCCGGGAUGCUGGGAGAGGGGGAGUGGGGGGUGAGGUGGGACCUGUGGUGUCCCAGGGACGUGGCUGUGCUGUGGCGUUCCUGGGGACAUCCGUCUGUCCCGGAGCUGAGAGCCCAGCUCCGGUGCUGGCUCUGGGAGCUGCAUCCCCAGCAGUGCCUGGCAGCUCCAUCCCCCCCUGGGGUGACAAGGACCCACUGGAGGCCCCCAGACGGGACCUCAGCACCCCGCAGUCCUCCCACCCCCAGCACCGCUGCCCCACAUCCCUCCGGGCUCUGCCGGAGCCCGGUCACCUCCCAGCCACUGUCCCCAGCACGUGGCAGGACACCAGGGACAUGCUGCUCACCGGGGCGAGGGGCUGGCAGCAGGCGAGGCCGUGAGGCUUCAGGACAAGGGACAAGGGACAAAGCCCCCUCCAAGGCGCAAGCAGGAGGCAGACUCGUGGCAGUGCCAGGGCUGUAUGGAUCCCCGGGGCCCUCACCAGAGCAAAGCCAGGGCCCAGCCAGCCAGAGGCAGCAGCAGCUGCGUGGCGCAGAGGAGGAUGACGGUGGGCGGGAAGAGCACGGUGAGGAAGGCGGCCAGGGCCGGCAGCAGCCCGUUGAGGAAGAUGUUGGCGACGGGCAGCAUGGCGCGCAGCAGGGCGAGCAGGGCCGGCAGCACGUGGUCGUGCGCAACGAACACGGGCAGGAGGAGGAAGAAGAGGCAGAGGAAGGCAGUGCGCAGCAGGAGGUCGCAGAAGGCCACGGUGACGACGAAGGACAGGAACUUGCGGAGCGGCUGCAGGGNNNNNNNNNNNNNNNNNNNNNNNNNNNNNNNNNNNNNNNNNNNNNNNNNNNNNNNNNNNNNNNNNNNNNNNN
Long non-coding RNA from Anser cygnoides (Swan goose), 1605 nucleotides. The record is from Ensembl. NCBI's taxonomy places the organism in Eukaryota, Metazoa, Chordata, Aves, Anseriformes, Anatidae.